GUCAACCUCGAUAUGGACCGAGGUGUUUUGUAUUGGACCGACCAUCUUUAUAAAAUGUCUCUUUAAUGAAAGUUUGUUUUCUUAGUCACUGUGUCCACAAAGACCGUAGAUUGGCCACUUUAUUAUGAUAGAGUUCAAUAUCUGACUUAUGUUAAACACCAUAGAGGCCAUUCAUUUGUUUUGUGUCAUUUUCUUGGUGAUAAGGAGUAGGAAUCGAUCAUUUUUGGGUGCUGUCAUAGCUCGAUAGGAGAAAGGUCGGAAUAGAGAUACUCAUUCCUCGACUAUAAUCAAGAAGAAUGUAAAGAUCGAAUGGAGGCUGGAAAGUUCGUAUGGAGAUGCACACCGAUCCUCAAUCAUGGUUGAGGAUAUUAUGAAUCGAGAGCCAUAUAAAGAACACAUCUCGAUCCUCGACCAUAAUCAAGGAGCAUGUGUUUGGAGAGCCACAUGAAGAAUAUAUUUCAAUCUUUGACCGUAGUCAAGGAGUGCAUGUUCGGAGAGCCGCAUAGAGAACACAUUCUGAUCCUCAGCCAUGGCUGAGGAGCAGGUGUUGGAAGAACAGCAUAAAGAUGCAUACCACUCCUUGGCCAUGGUCAAGAAAAGUAUGAGCCACAGAGUACCAUGGAGAUGCAUACUGCUCCUUGACUAUGGUCGAGAAAUACAUGGAUAGAGAGUAGCAUAGAGAUGCAUACUACUCCUCGAUCGUGGCCGAGGAGUGCACGAGUAGGAGAGCAACAUGGAAAUGCAUAUCACUCCUCGACUGUGACCAUGGAGCACACGAGUCAGAGAGCAAUAUGGAUAUAUGUAUCGCUCCUCGAUCAUGGCCGAGGAGUGCACGGAAGGAAAGUAGUAUAGAGAUGCAUACUGCUCUUCGAUCGUGGUUGAGAAGUGCGUGAGUCAAAGAGCAGCAUCGAGAUACAUGCCAUUCCUCGAUCGUGGUCGAGGGGCACACGAGUCGGAGACCUACAUGGAGAUCAUGGAGAGCACGUUCCGCACCUCGUUUGUGGACAAGGAAUGUAUGUUUGGAAAAAAUACAGUUUGAUAAAUUUUUUUUUAUUAUUUAAUAAAAAAAUAUAAUUC
Molecule: long non-coding RNA, 1077 nt
Filed under: Elaeis guineensis (African oil palm)
Lineage: Eukaryota; Viridiplantae; Streptophyta; Magnoliopsida; Arecales; Arecaceae
Description: long non-coding RNA (EGUI_LNC078693)
Source: RNAcentral